CAGUAUGACAACGCAAGGCUUAAAGAUCAUCAUGGUGUUCUCGAGAUUAAAAAUGUUGAGGUUAAUGAAGCUCUGGAAGUAAUGCACGCCAAUGAUUCUUCCAAUGAUGAGGAAACAUACGACGCUUCCUAACGAUCGUGACGAGUAGUUGAUAUUUUAAAAAUUAUUUCGCCACUCUCGGCAUUACCUUCUCAAGGGCUGGUAGUUAUCAAGCACUACAAUCUUCUCAAAAGAUUUACAUUGUUCAAGAAUGGCUUCACCAAAAGAAAUCAACGAUUCCAAGAAUGAUUCAAAGAGCAUUGGUCCUGUACGUCACACAACCAUGAUUCGUGGCGGUGCAUGUGUUCCUUACACUCUCAUUCGUCG
This is a long non-coding RNA of Papaver somniferum (opium poppy), 366 nucleotides long. RefSeq lists it as uncharacterized. The transcript has 4 exons. NCBI's taxonomy places the organism in Eukaryota, Viridiplantae, Streptophyta, Magnoliopsida, Ranunculales, Papaveraceae. The record is from RefSeq and is a predicted model, not a curated record.